GUGGGGAAUAUUGGACAAUGGGCGAAAGCCUGAUCCAGCCAUGCCGCGUGUGUGAAGAAGGUCUUCGGAUUGUAAAGCACUUUAAGCUGGGAGGAAGGGUAGUAACCUAAUACGUUGCUACUUUGACGUUACCGACAGAAUAAGCACCGGCUAACUUCGCGCCAGCAGCCGCGGUAAUACGAAGGGUGCAAGCGUUAAUCGGAAUUACUGGGCGUAAAGCGCGCGUCGGUGGUUCAGUAAGUUGGAAGUGAAAUCCCCGGGCUCAACCUGGGAACUGCUUGCAAAACUGCUGAGCUAGAGUACGGUAGAGGGUGGUGGAAUUUCCUGUGUAGCGGUGAAAUGCGUAGAUAUAGGAAGGAACACCAGUGGCGAAGGCGACCACCUGGACUGAUACUGACGCUCAUGCACGAAAGCGUGGGGAGCAAACAGGAUUAGAAACCCUGGUAGUCC
RNAcentral lists this ribosomal RNA (450 nucleotides) under uncultured bacterium. RNAcentral's name for it is "partial 16S ribosomal RNA". It matches the Rfam family "Bacterial small subunit ribosomal RNA", at positions 354 to 796 of the family's 1533-position model. The record is from RNAcentral.